AGUUUGAUCCUGGCUCAGGACGAACGCUGGCGGCGUGCCUAAUACAUGCAAGUCGAGCGGAGAAUGAAGGAAGCUUGCUUCUUUUAUUCUUAGCGGCGGACGGGUGAGUAACACGUAGGCAACCUGCCCUCAAGCUUGGGACAACUACCGGAAACGGUAGCUAAUACCAAAUACAUGAUUUGUUCGCCUGAACGAAUCUGGAAAGACGGAGCAAUCUGUCACUUGAGGAUGGGCCUGCGGCGCAUUAGCUAGUUGGUGAGGUAACGGCUCACCAAGGCGACGAUGCGUAGCCGACCUGAGAGGGUGAUCGGCCACACUGGGACUGAGACACGGCCCAGACUCCUACGGGAGGCAGCAGUAGGGAAUCUUCCGCAAUGGACGCAAGUCUGACGGAGCAACGCCGCGUGAGUGAUGAAGGUUUUCGGAUCGUAAAGCUCUGUUGCCAGGGAAGAACGUCCAGGUUAGUAACUGAACUUGGAGUGACGGUACCUGAGAAGAAAGCCCCGGCUAACUACGUGCCAGCAGCCGCGGUAA
RNAcentral lists this ribosomal RNA (534 nucleotides) under uncultured bacterium. RNAcentral describes it as "bacterial SSU rRNA". It matches the Rfam family "Bacterial small subunit ribosomal RNA", at positions 10 to 523 of the family's 1533-position model. The record is from RNAcentral.